GUAGGAUUACCCGCUGAACUUAAGCAUAUCAAUAAGCGGAGGAAAAGAAACUAACAAGGAUUCCCCUAGUAACUGCGAGUGAAGCGGGAAAAGCUCAAAUUUAAAAUCUGGCGGUCUUUGGCCGUCCGAGUUGUAGUCUGGAGAAGUGCUUUCCGCGCUGGACCGUGUACAAGUCUCUUGGAACAGAGCGUCAUAGAGGGUGAGAAUCCCGUCUUUGACACGGACUACCAGUGCUUUGUGAUGUGCUCUCAAAGAGUCGAGUUGUUUGGGAAUGCAGCUCAAAAUGGGUGGUAAAUUCCAUCUAAAGCUAAAUAUUGGCGAGAGACCGAUAGCGAACAAGUACCGUGAGGGAAAGAUGAAAAGCACUUUGGAAAGAGAGUUAAACAGUACGUGAAAUUGCUGAAAGGGAAACGCUUGAAGUCAGUCGCGUUGGCCAGGACUCAGCCUUGCUUAUUUGCUUGGUGCAUUUUCUGGUUGACGGGCCAGCAUCGAUUUUGACCGCUGGAAAAAGAUUAGGGGAAUGUGGCACCUUCGGGUGUGUUAUAGCCCUUAGUCACAUACAGUGGUUGGGAUCGAGGACCGCAGCACGCCUUUAUGGCCGGGGUUCGCCCACGUUCGUGCUUAGGAUGCUGGCGUAAUGGCUUUAAACGACCCGUCUUGAAACACGGACCAAGGAGUCUAACAUGCCUGCGAGUGUUUGGGUGGAAAACCCGAGCGCGUAAUGAAAGUGAAAGUUGAGAUCCCUGUCGUGGGGAGCAUCGACGCCCGGACCUGAACUUCGGUGAUGGAUCUGCGGUAGAGCAUGUAUGUUGGGACCCGAAAGAUGGUGAACUAUGCCUGAAUAGGGUGAAGCCAGAGG
This 859-nucleotide ribosomal RNA is filed under the name Fomitopsis pinicola. Its description in RNAcentral is "eukaryotic LSU rRNA". It matches the Rfam family "Eukaryotic large subunit ribosomal RNA", at positions 15 to 858 of the family's 3401-position model. The record is from RNAcentral. Lineage: Eukaryota; Fungi; Basidiomycota; Agaricomycetes; Polyporales; Fomitopsidaceae.